AUGCGGUAUGAGAGAGAUAAUGGUAUAUUCAGUAGAGCUGAUAUCCAUUGCCAAAUGAAAAAGGUUGGACUGACGUGUUUUUCAACCAGAACUGAUCUUCCUGCGUGCACAACGGACGGAAACAGGGGAUGCAACGUCGAGCUUCCGGUCGUUCUCCGGCGCGAUGCUGCUGGCCAUUCGUUGCUAGAGGAGACAUGUAAAGGAUUCCGCACGUGCGCGCGCUCAGCUGGAUGUUUUUUUAGAUUAUUUUCAUCCGUAAUUUAUGUUUACAAGUUUUGGUGUUCUUGGUCAUUUUCCAUGCCCGCCAUGGAAAUCUGUUCUUCUUUUUCUGUUGUUUUACUUUCGAAUUGGUGUUGCAGGGAUAGAUAUAAGGACUGUAUGAAAAGAUUUGCGUUGUCAAUUUUGCUUUUUUGA
Molecule: ribosomal RNA, 414 nt
Filed under: Triticum aestivum (bread wheat)
Lineage: Eukaryota; Viridiplantae; Streptophyta; Magnoliopsida; Poales; Poaceae
Description: partial small subunit ribosomal RNA
Source: RNAcentral